This 429-nucleotide ribosomal RNA is filed under the name Actinomycetes bacterium. Its description in RNAcentral is "Actinobacteria bacterium partial 16S ribosomal RNA". It matches the Rfam family "Bacterial small subunit ribosomal RNA", at positions 355 to 776 of the family's 1533-position model. The record is from RNAcentral. Lineage: Bacteria; Bacillati; Actinomycetota; Actinomycetes.
UAGGGAAUCUUCCGCAAUGGGCGAAAGCCUGACGGAGCAACGCCGCGUGAGUGAUGAAGGUCUUCGGAUCGUAAAACUCUGUUAUUAGGGAAGAACAAAUGUGUAAGUAACUAUGCACGUCUUGACGGUACCUAAUCAGAAAGCCACGGCUAACUACGUGUCAGCAGCCGCGGUAAUACGUAGGUGGCAAGCGUUAUCCGGAAUUAUUGGGCGUAAAGCGCGCGUAGGCGGUUUUUUAAGUCUGAUGUGAAAGCCCACGGCUCAACCGUGGAGGGUCAUUGGAAACUGGAAAACUUGAGUGCAGAAGAGGAAAGUGGAAUUCCAUGUGUAGCGGUGAAAUGCGCAGAGAUAUGGAGGAACACCAGUGGCGAAGGCGACUUUCUGGUCUGUAACUGACGCUGAUGUGCGAAAGCGUGGGGAUCAAACAGG